CUGACAAUGGGUGUAAGAGAAACAGAUACUGACAAUGGCAGCAGGGCUGUAAAGAUGUUGCAUCUCUUUUCAGGCAUCCCUCAGCCCAUGAAUACUACGAUCCAAAUGACUACAUUGGAGACAUCCAUCAGGAGAUGGACAGGGAGGAGUUGGAGCUGGAGGAAGUGGACCUCUACAGAAUGAACAGCCAGGACAAGCUGGGCCUCACUGUGUGCUACCGGACGGACGAUGAAGACGACAUUGGGAUUUAUAUCAGUGAGAUUGACCCUAACAGCAUUGCAGCCAAGGAUGGGCGCAUCCGAGAAGGAGACCGCAUUAUCCAGAUUAAUGGGAUAGAGGUGCAGAACCGUGAAGAGGCUGUGGCUCUUCUAACCAGUGAAGAAAAUAAAAACUUUUCAUUGCUGAU
This 406-nucleotide small RNA is filed under the name Pongo abelii (Sumatran orangutan). Its description in RNAcentral is "retained intron". Lineage: Eukaryota; Metazoa; Chordata; Mammalia; Primates; Hominidae. The record is from RNAcentral.